Molecule: long non-coding RNA, 9254 nt
Organism: Carassius gibelio (silver crucian carp)
Lineage: Eukaryota; Metazoa; Chordata; Actinopteri; Cypriniformes; Cyprinidae
Exons: 2
Source: RefSeq, a predicted model, not a curated record
UUGCACUGAUGGCUUGAGCCCGACAUCGCUGCUUGCAGCUAUAUUUAUUAUUAUUAUUAUUAUUAUUAUUAUUAGGGCUCAAGCCUGGAGGGCGAGAGCCCUAUUGUUUUCCUUAGAAUUAUUUAUUAUUAUUAUUAUUAUUUAUUUUUUUUAUUAUUUUUUUUUCUAACGUUACGGGGGCUUUUGGGGCCCUUAACAUGCUUAAAAAAUCUUGAAAAUUGGCACACACAUUGGAACCUGCGGCCAUUAGGGCCGGGCAGAGACUGAUACACGGGCGUGACACAGGGGCUCUACAGCGCCCCCUGGAAUAUGGAGGGCCAUAUAUCAUACAUACUUGUAAGUAGACGUACGAAACUCGGUACACGUAUAGAACUCAUCAAUACAAACAACUUUCGUAUUGCAUGUCAUAGGCUCCGCCCAACAGGAAGUCAGCUAUUUAGAGUUAUGUAAAAAGCGCAUGCUCUGGAAUUUGAUAUACUUGUCAUAGGUUUUUUACUCGAUUGCCACCAAACUCGGUCAACAUGAUCUCAAGACAUUGGGGAUGAAAAAUUGCCAGGGGAUUUUUGAUAUCUCGAACGGUUUGCUCGUAGCGAGGCGUUGAAUUUAUGGCUAGAAUUGAGAAACAGGAAGUGUCUAAUACCAUCCACAUACAUUUCCUAAUUUUAAUCAAACUUCAACAGAUUAUUCAUUGUAUGAUGUCGAUCGCAUAUAUGUGACUAUUAGGAGUCAAAGUUAUAGCGCCACCAACUGGCAGCAGGAAGUGUGUCAUUUUCAAAAUGCUUUGAAUUCAGCAUCUUAUUUUUACUCUAUUUGCUUCAAACUUCAUCAGAAUAAUGUUAAAACACAGCCGAUAUAAAUCUGCUGGGGGGAUAUUGAUAUCUAAAAAUAUUGUUGCCGUGGCAACAUGUGAAACUGGAAUACUUCUCAGGUGAUUUUGAGGCAUAUAACAUGCUUAUAAUUUCAUCAAACUCAGAACACAUAUGAGUAUUAGUGACAGCUAGACACUGGCAAAAGUUCAUAAGAGGGCGUGGAAGAGGCACUCUAUAGCGCCACCUUUUGUCAAAAGUGGGUGGGUUAGUUUUAGCUACUGACACCAAACUCUGUACAUAUAUUGGUCUCAUCAAGACGGACAACUUUCUAAUUUACAGUCAUCAGCUACGACCAACUGGAAGUUGGCUAUUUUGAUUUGAAUGUGGAUUGUUUUUUACAUUUAGCUGUGAAUUAAUGCAUACUGCUCAGAGGAGAGUAACACUAUACACACCAAACUUGGUCUACUCGUUGAAAAAACAUUGAGGAACUUAAAUUGUGAAUGGGUUUUGGAUAGCUUGGAUGGUUUUGUCGUGGUGAUUUUUUUAAAUGACAGUAAAAAUUGAAUUAUUAAUUUUCCUGCAUUUUUAAAUUCCAAACACUUCAAAACCUUUUUUCAUACAGAAAAAAAAAGUUAUUUUGAGUAAAUAUGCAGUUUCAUGACUUUACAACACUGUAUGGAUAACAUAAAAUAAAAAACUGUCAGACAUCUCCUCUCACUCUGUCCAUCUGUUUGAGUGUGUGUGCUUAGACUUCCAUUGUCUGAGAGAAAAUGCGCCCCUACAGGUGCAGUUACCGGACUAAAAAAGGGAGGAGACUCUUGGUUUCACUUUUAAAUCGGUUAAAAUACAAAUAAAUACUUGGAUUUAAUUUACACUGACAAGCUAAACCAACAUAUAUGAUUAUUAUCAGGUCAGGGCUCAUUAAUAAUCGAUGUGUGGUCAGUGAUACGUGAGAAACAGAGAGAUGAAUCACCGCUCUGAGCAUGAGCGUGUGGAAUGAUGAGCUCAGAAAAAACGAGUUUAUUCUUGUUUUAUAGCUAUUAAAAAUAAAGUAUUGCAGCGAUAUCACACAAUUCACCAAUCAGAACACACCAAGAGCUAAAUUAAGAUGUUUUUGAACUGUUUGUGUGAAAAUGAAAUAUUCGCGGCUGCCUAUCUGAAAUCACCGCUCCGAUCAGCGCGUACAGUGUCACAAGUUCAAAACAAACAAAUUUAUUCUUGUUUAAGAGCUUUUUAAAAUAAAUUAUUGCCAUAAAUGCACACAAUACACCCAUUAUAACACAACACGAGCUAAAUGCAGGUGUUUGUGACCCGUUUAUGUGCGCAAGACUGUUUGAAAGCUUGACUGGCAGAAUAACAUAUAUCUCUCGAGCUGCAGGAUUCUGCCUUUCGUCGUAAGAACGAACACAUCACGGACAAGAUUAUUUCAAAAUACAUAAUAGCUUGGCUAAUAUAAACGAAAACAGCCACGUGAACAUAAACUGUUGAGAAAUAAAUCUGAAGUGGAUCUACUGGAUUUUAAUAUUAAGUGACCGCAUAUACCAGCUGCUUCUGUCUUCAAUUUUAAUCUAUAUAAAAAAUUAAACUCAUUCAUCUUGGCUCCUUUUUUUUAAUGUGUGUACGUAUUUAUUUAUUAUUUUGCUCUAACAAGACUUAAUCUAUAUUUAAUUAAAUCAAUUACAUUUUAUUUUACAUUUGAUUUGUCCAUUUCUGCAUCUUAACGCCUAAAAACCUAAAACAUGCUCUAUUAUACUAUUGUUAGCAAUUUCUUUAUCGUCCAAUUUAUCUGGUGUACACACUUUUAUUUUCAUAAUAAACUUGUUUGUUAGACUAUACACAGUUACAGUGGUCUAUAAUAAAUAUUAACAGGUUUUAUUCAAGCUGUUUAGAAUGAUUGCCAUAGGCUAGUUUUUUUAAAUGUAAAUUUAACAAAAUAAAUAAAAAAAUUAAUAAAUGAAAAAACAUUGGAAAAGAAUAACUGUUGUACUUUUUUAUACAUUUUGUAUAAUUUCAUAGUUUAUGCAUUAUAGUUAUAAAAACAAAUAAAUUUAGCCACUCACAUAGAAAUCUUGGGCCUUAUCCUUUUCUGACAGUUUUAGGGAUUUUAAAAAAUCCUAAAAAACCUUAUUUGUGGUGCAAAUAAUAAUUUCAAAUUAAUUUGAUACUGACUUCUGACAUCCUGUGACAUGAUAUUUAUUUGAAUUUACAUAAUCUCAUGGAUGUAACAGUAAAUCUGUUCAGCUCACAGAUCAAGACUAAGCUGUAAUGCAAGCAGAACUUUCACAAAUGCUUGUAGGUCAAUAAAAUCAUUACAAAACACUUACAAAUCAUUUAAGGGAUUUGAUAACACUGUAAAAUAAUGUCUAAUUUGUUAACAUUAGCAAAUGCAUUGAUAACACUUUAUAAUAACUGCACUCAUUAGUAAAUAGUCAGUUCAUGCUUUAUAAAGCCUUGUCCCAAUAUUAAUAGUCAGUAGUAAGCAGUUUAUAAAUACAGCUAUAAAUAGCUCAUUUAUUAAAAAGGAGAGUAAAGGGUCAGUUAUCUUCCUAUGAAAAAUAAAAAAAUAAAAAUAAACAAACAACAACACAGAUUGAUACAGAACUCAGAAAUGUUAUUGUGGAUUUAUGAUAAACUCAGCCUGUAAAUGAAUUCAUUCUCCUCCAAGAAGACACAAGUAGUUCACACCAAACUGUUUUAACAUGAAGCCAUAUACUGAAGAUGUUAAAUUUCGAAUGGGUUUAGGAUACCUUAAAUGGUGUGGCCAUAGCGAUUUAUUAAGUGAACAUAAAAUAAUACAAUAGUUAUUUUACUAUAUCUUUAAAAUUUUUAAUUCCAACUCUUCAUAAUUUUUUAUAUACGUAGAAGUCAUAAUUUGAAGGAAGCACAGUAAGUUUCAUAGCUUUAUCAUUUUCAAGAGCCAGCAUAAAAUUAAAACUAUCAUAACGUAUAAAUCAAGCUUGCAAUUCUUAGUACCAAUAAUGGCCACCAGAUUGAGCUAUAGGAUUACUUUUAAAUAAUUAUUGUAGAAACAAGUAUGAUUUAAAUCAUUUAUAGAAAUCUUUCAAAGAAAAAUAAUAUGUAUUUUAUGUAUUUUACAGAUAAAAUGACCCUCCCUUAAUUAGAAUAACAAGCUGAAGUAUUGUGAACCGUAUAUUAAGAAUAAUUCUUUAUAGGCUUUAUGGACAGAUACGUUUUGAGUGACUCUUGAAGGAUCAGCACCACAUCCUCUUUUACCACUGUUUAAAGAAUGCAUCUUACAGUACAGGUGUGGAUGAAUUUUGAAUAGCUUGAAUGGUUUUGUCGUGGUGAUUUUUUGAAAUAACAGUAAAAAAGUAACCAGUAAAUGUCUUUUUUUUUUUUUUAAGUGCAGCUUCUAAACACUUCAAAAAAAUGUACACAUAGAAGACAAGUCAUUCUGAGGAAAUAUACAUAGUUUCAUGACUAUACAACACUAUAUGGAUGAUAGAAAAUUAAAAAACUACAUCUGAUGUCACUCUGUCCCUCUGUCACUGUGGGUAGUGUGUGUGUGUGUGUGUGUGUGUGUGUUAAGUGAAUUAGGUGUGAAACUAUCAGGGAGCAUUUAGUCUCCAGCGCCAACAUUUUACAGAACUGCCACUUUCCUGGAGUCUCAGAAUUACAAUGUGUCAGGUUCUGAGAGAUCUAAGAUUCCAAAAAAUGAUUGAAUUAGAAUACCAUGAAGUAUUGUGAAAUACUAUAUAUUAAGACUUUAUAUAUAGGCUUUAUGAACAGAUUAGAGUGGCUCGUGAAGGACCAGCACCACCUCCUCUUGUCUGAUGGUUUGAGGAAUAUAUCUUCCAGAAUCCGGGAUUAAGAUUUAGGAGCUCAUUUUUAUUCCACCUCCUUUCCUGAAAGUCUGUCUUGCAGAAUUGACUAAAAAUUAAUCUUCACAUUAAUUCCUAAUUAUUUAUUAGCAAUUAUCACCUCGUGACCCAGUCAGCAUUUUUGUACAAUGGUCAAGUCUUAACUUAUCUAUUUCUGUAUUGCAUUUGUGUUUGAUAUUUCUCAUGGGUAUUUCAUAAUUUAUGACUUUGAGUUAAAACAGUUUGAGUUAAAACUCUUUUUUAGCGAAUUUCAUCUGUAAAAGAAAACAUGCCUAAUAAUUCUGCACACAUGAAUAUAAGGAGUUUUUCUCUUCCAGCUUUCCUGGACUAUUGUAUAGCACUCAUAAAUGAUUAAAUAAAAAAUAAUGGUAGUUAAAUAUAUAUUGUUCUGUGAAUGUGAUUUUAAAGUCUAGAUGAUUCGGAUUAACCCUUUAACUGCCAUAUCCUUUAAAACCUCACUGCCAGAGGGAUAUUGUGAAUGCAUGUGCCUGCUGGGCACAGUUUACCUGAUGCCACCGGGGUGGCGAUGGCACUGGUGGCUUGAGCCCGCCAUCGCUGCUUGCAGCUAUAUUUAGGGCUCAAGCCUGGAGGGCGAGAGCCCUAUUGUUUUCCUUAGGAUUAUUUGUUAUUAUUAUUAUUAUUUUUCUUCAAGGUUUCGGGGGCUUUUGGGGCCCUUAACAUGCUCAAAAACUCUUGAAAAUUGGCACACACCUUGGAACCUGCGGCCAUUAGGGCCGGGCAGAGUCUGAUACACGGGCGUGGCACAGGGGCUCUACAGCGCCCCCUGUAGUACUGAGGGCCAUAUAUCAUGCAUACUUGCACGUAUACAUAUGAAACUUGGUACAUAUAUAUAACUCAUCAAACCAAACAACUUUCACACUGCAUGUCAUAAGCUCCGCCCAACAGGAAGUUGGCUAUUUAGGGUUUUAUGAAAAACACAUGCUCUGGAAUUUGAUAUACUCCUCUGAGGAACUCCACCCGUUCACCACCAAACUCGGUGAACACAAUCUCAAGACAUUGGGGAUGCUAAAUUGCGAAGAGAUUUUUGAUAUCUCGAACGGUUUGCCCGUGGCGAGGCGUUGAAAUUAUGGCGAGAAAGGAGAAACAGGAAAUGUAUAAUAACAUCCACAUACAUUUCCUGAAUUUGAUCAAACUUAAUUGGUUUGUUCAUUUUAUGAUACCGAUCAUAUAUAUGUGAAUAUUAGGAGUCAAAGGUAUAGCGCCACCAACUGGCAGCAGGAAGUGAAUCAUUUUCAAAACGCUUUGAAUUCAGCAUCUUAUUUUUACUUGAUUUGCUUCAAACUUCAUCAGAAUAAUGACAAAACACGGCCGAAGAAAAUCUGUUGUGGGGAUAUUUAUAUCUAAUAUAGUGUUGCCAUGGCAACGUGUCAAACUUGAAUGUUCUGUUCUGGUGAUUUUUAGGCAGAUAACUAGCUCAGAUUUACAUGAAACUCGAAACAGAUAUCAGUAUUAAAGAUAGCUAGACCAUGGCAAAAGCUUUUAAAAGGGCGUGAAGGAGGCACUCUAUAGCGCCACCUUUUGUCAAAAGUGGGGGGAUUAGUUUUAGCUACAGACACCAAACUUGGUACAUAAAUUGUUCUUAUCAAGACGGACAACUUUCUAAUUCACAGUCAUCAGCUACGACCAACAGGAAGUCUGCUAUUUUGAUUUGAAUAUUUAAAUUGAGCUCUGAUUUAAUGCAUACUCCUCACAGGAAAUGUUCACUAUACUCACCAAACUUUGUCUACAUGUUGAAAAAACAUUGAGGAACUUAAAUUGCGAAAAAGCUUGAACGGUUUUGUCGUGGUGAUUUUUUUGAAAUGACAGUAAAAAGGGAAUCAUUAAUUGUCUUGUAUUUUUAAAUUGCAGCUUCCAAACACUUAAAAAAAAAUUCAUACAGAGAUCAAAUCAUUCUGAGGACAUAUGCAUAGUUUCAUGACUUUACAACACUGUAUGAUUAAAAGAAAAUUAAAAAACUGUCAGACAUCUCAACUCACUCUGUCCCUCUGUUUGAGGAAUGUAUGUGUGCUGACCAAGUGUGUGUGUGUGUGUGUGUGUGUGUGUCUGUGAGUGGGGGAUGGGCAUGAGCUGAGUGGCAGACACAAUGAGAGACAGAAAGAGAGAGAAAGAAAGAGAGAGAGAGACUUAAUCAUCUAUUUAAUCACCAGAAAAAAAAAAUAUUUUAAAUUGUUAUUUUUUGUUGCUGUUGCUAACAUUGCUGUUUUCAUUACAGCUUAAGAAAUCUCUUAGGCCUUAUCCUUUUCUGACAGUUUCAGGAAUUAAAAACAAAAUUCUAAAAAUACUUAUUUGUGCUGCAAAUAAUAAUUUCAAACUCAUUUGAUACUGACCUAUUCCAUCCUGUGACAUGACAUUUAUCUUAAUUUACAUAAUCUCAUGGAUGUAACAGUAAAACUGUUCAGCUCACAGAUCAAGACUAAGCUGUAAUGCAAGCAGAACUUUCACAAAUGCUUAUAAGUCAUUAAAUGAUUUUAUAACACUGUAAAAUAAUGUUUAAUUUGUUAACAUUAGUAAAUGCAUUGGUAACACUUUAUAAUAACUGCACUCAUUAGUAAAUAGUCAGUUCAUGCUUUAUAAAGUCUUGUCCCAACUUAAAUAGUCAUUAAUAAGCAGCUUAUAAAUACAACUAUAAAUAGCUUGAUCUUGGUUUAUAAGCACAUUUAUUAAAAAGGAGAGUAAAGAGUCAGUUAUCUUCCUAUGAAAAAUAAAAAAAAUAAAAAUAAACAAACAACACAGAUUGAUACAGAUCUCAGAAAUUUUAUUGUGGAUUUAUGAUCAAAUCAGCCUGUAAAUGAAUCAUACUCCUUCAAGAAGACACAAGUAGUUCACACCAAACUUUUUCAACAUGAUGCCAAUAUACUGAAGAUGUUAAAUUGCGAAUGGGUUUAAGAUACCUUAAAUGGCGUGGCCAUACCGAUUUAUUAAAGUAACAUAAAAAAAUACAAUAGUUAUUUUACUAUAUCUUUAACAUUCUUCAUUCCAACUCUUCAUCAUUUUUUAUAUACGUAGAAGUCAUCAUUUGAAGGAAUCACAGUAAGUUUCAUAGCUUUAUCAUGUCCAGGAGCCACCAUAAAAUUAAAACUAUCAUAACAUAUAAAUCAAGCUUGCAAUUCUUAGUACCAAUAAUGGCCACCAGAUGGAGCUAUAGGAUUACUUUUAAAUAAUUAUUGUAGAAACGAAUAUGAUUUAAAUCAUUUAUAGAAAUCUUUCAAAGAAAAAUAUGUAUUUUACUGAUAAAAUGACCCUCACUUAAUUAGAAUAAUAUGCUGAAGUAUUGUGAAAUACUGUGUAUUAAGAAUAAUUCUUUAUAGGCUUUAUGGACAGAUAAGUUUGGAGUGACUCUGAAGGAUCAGCACCACAUCCUCUUUUACCACUGUUUAAAGAAUGUAUCUUACAGUACAGGUGCGAAUGAAUUUUGGAUAGCUUGAAUGGUUUUGUCAUGGUGAUUUUUUGAAAUAACAGUAAAAAAGGAACCAGUAAAUGUCUUUUAUUUUUUUAAGUGCAGCUUCUAAACACUUCAACAAAAUGUACACAUAGAAGACAAGUCAUGCUGAGGAAAUAUGCAUAGUUUCAUGACUACACAACACUAUAUGGAUGAGAGAAAAAAAAAAAAACUACCAUACAUCUGAUGUCACUCUGUCCCUCUGUAACUGUGGGUAAUGUGUGUGUGUGUGUGUGUGUGUGUUUGUGUGUGUGCUGAGUUUGUGUGAAUGUGUGAGAGAGGAGAUGGGCUUGGUGUCAGAGAGAGAGAGAGAGAGAGAGAGAGGGAGGGAGACUUAAUCAUCUCUUUAAUCACCAGCAGAGAAAAAAUAAGCAAUUUUGUGUUGUUGUUGUUGUUGUUGUUUUUUCAUCAUUACAGCUUAAGAAAUAUCUUAGGCCUCAACAUCAACUGUUGCUGCAUCAUAUAGCCUUCUCCCAAAAUUAAUAGUCAUUAGUAAGCAUUUUCUAAAUACAGCUAUAAUUAAAUUGUUCAUGGUUUAUAUGCACAUUUAUUUUGAGGAGAUUAAAUGCUGUAAUCUUCCUAAAAAAAUAAAAUUAAAUAAACAAACAGAACUCAGAAACACUUAUUUCUAGAUGCAAUAAAAGAAAACUGUACACUAUAUAUAUAUAUACACAAUUGCAUAAGUUUAUAUUUAAUUUUUUUUUAUCAAGUCAAAAAUAACAGCAAAUAACAAUGUCAAUUAAAAAAACGCAAUAGUAUUAGAAUAGCACAACAUAUUGUGGAAUACUAUAUUAAGACUUUAUAUAUAGGCUUUAUGAACAGAUGAAGUACUAGCAUCACCUCCUCUUGUACGACGGCUUGAGGAAUAUAUCUUCCAGAUAGUACCGCCGCUCCCUAUAUGCAGAAUACGCAGUCUUCGUAGGGCACCAACUCCCAGAGGGGGCACCAUCCCAGUAGCUAAAAAAAAAUAAAACAUGCGCCAUUCUCCCAUCCGCGCUCGCGACCGCUCGGACAUUUGCGGAUGAAUGUUCGUAAUUGAUGGAUGGACAUCUAUGCCCGGGUAAAAGAUAUCAGCAAUCCGGCACAGAGAAAAGAAAAAUAAAGUAAAAAACAAAACAAAAACAGGCAUAAAGUUGGCUUGGC